This 614-nucleotide ribosomal RNA is filed under the name Steinernema nepalense. RNAcentral's name for it is "eukaryotic LSU rRNA". It matches the Rfam family "Eukaryotic large subunit ribosomal RNA", at positions 344 to 964 of the family's 3401-position model. Lineage: Eukaryota; Metazoa; Nematoda; Chromadorea; Rhabditida; Steinernematidae. The record is from RNAcentral.
ACAAGUACCGUGAGGGAAAGUUGCAAAGUACUUUGAAGAGAGAGUUCAAGAGGACGUGAAACCGGUAGGAUGGAAGCAGAUAAAGUUGACGAACGUGUGUCGUAUUCAGAACUACAAUUUGUGGUUUGUUUUUACGAUCGAUGUGGGCUGGCGUCUUUGGUUAACUUAGUGUCUGGCGGCAAUGGUGACCCUGCGGAGGGAUAAUCGGUUGUCGUGCGAUGCUUGGUAUGGCUAGAGGUUUGCUGGUCUUAUAGUCAUCGCUUUAUCUGACCCGUCUUGAAACACGGACCAAGGAGUGUAGCGCUUACGCGAGUCUUAGAGUGUGUCAAAACUUUGAGGCGUAACGAAAGUAAAUGUGAAUUUAUUCACUGACUUGGGAUGCGUUGUCUUUUUUGGAUAGCGUUGGACCAUGGUUUUAUCGUAAUCGCUUGCGAUGCGGUGAAAAUAGAGCGUAAGCGGUGCGACCCGAAAGAUGGUGAACUAUGCCUGAGCAGGAUGAAGCCGGGGGAAACUCUGGUGGAAGUCCGAAGCGGUUCUGACGUGCAAAUCGAUCGUCUGACUUGGGUAUAGGGGCGAAAGACUAAUCGAACCAUCUAGUAGCUGGUUCCUUCCGA